GCUUCUUUAGCUCAGUUGGUUAGAGCGUCGUGCUAAUAUGAUUCAGAUUCAGUUACGCGAAGGUCAUAAGUUCGAGCCUUAUAAGAAGCA
Molecule: non-coding RNA, 90 nt
Organism: Glomus cerebriforme
Lineage: Eukaryota; Fungi; Glomeromycota; Glomeromycetes; Glomerales; Glomeraceae
Source: the annotation of a GenBank genome assembly